RNAcentral lists this ribosomal RNA (485 nucleotides) under uncultured bacterium. Its description in RNAcentral is "partial 16S ribosomal RNA". It matches the Rfam family "Bacterial small subunit ribosomal RNA", at positions 29 to 523 of the family's 1533-position model. The record is from RNAcentral.
AGUGAACGCUGGCGGCGUGCUUAACACAUGCAAGUCGAACGAGAACGGGAUAUAGCUUGCUAUAUUUGUCAGCUAAGUGGCGCACGGGUGAGUAAUGUAUAGAUAACCUGCCCUCUAGAAAGGAAUAACAGUUGGAAACGACUGCUAAUGCCCUAUAUGCCUUUAAUACAUAAGUAUGCAAGGGAAACGCUUUAGUGCUAGAGGAUGGGUCUGUAUGGUAUCAGCUUGUUGGUGAGGUAAUGGCUCACCAAGGCUAUGACGCCUAACUGGUUUGAGAGGACGAUCAGUCACACUGGAACUGAGACACGGUCCAGACUCCUACGGGAGGCAGCAGUGGGGAAUAUUGCACAAUGGACGAAAGUCUGAUGCAGCAACGCCGCGUGGAGGAUGACACAUUUCGGUGCGUAAACUCCUUUUAUAUAGGAAGAUAAUGACGGUACUAUAUGAAUAAACACCGGCUAACUUCGUGCCAGCCGCCGCCGUAA